Molecule: long non-coding RNA, 1673 nt
Organism: Carassius auratus (goldfish)
Lineage: Eukaryota; Metazoa; Chordata; Actinopteri; Cypriniformes; Cyprinidae
Source: Ensembl
CCACCGUUUCUCGCAUUCAACUCUCUGUUGAUUUCUCCGAACCUGGACACUACAUCCUAUAUGCUUACCACAUCAUAUUCUCCACAAGUGCGGUUCUGCUCUCAGGAUCUGUAGUCAUCGGGAUCCUAAAAACGAAGCAUCUACGAAUUCAGAACAGAUUCAUGUUUAUGCUGAGCACAAGCAUGAGUGACGUUAUUACAGGCCUGUCCGCUUAUUACUCGGGUCUUUUUGACGUUCAAGAGGGAUUCCCAUCCAGAAACGGAACUUACAAUAUUUUACCGUCUUUCCUCGGUGUAAAUCUUUUAGUCUUCAUGUUUGCCCAGUUUGAUAGAUACUGCGCCGUGUGUUAUCCUUUCAUCUACGAGCGCUUCGUCUCACGCACUGUAGUCAUUUGUGUCUGUUCGUACUGCUGGUUCCACGCUUGCGUUCUGUUCCAGCUUAUUUUGAAUUUGAUCCCAGUUAUACUAAGUAACAAGCUAUUUGCGUUCAGCAUCGCCAUGUUACAAAUUGUCGUGUUGACCAAUGUGUUGAUGACGAUUAAACUGUUCUUCGUUGCCAAACAUCAAGUUGCACGAGACCCGCCAAGUGCGGAGAGAGACAGCAAGGCAGAGUCUAUAAAGAUUAUAAUAGUCGUCGUUAUUAGUUUUUUAAUCUUCUGGUACCCCGCUUUUAUAAACAUAAUUGUAAAGCAAGUUUCUAAAUACGGCAUUUAUUCUAAAAACGACGGCUCGAACCCGUUUUUAAUACUGGCUCGUUUCAAUGCACUGUCUACUUCAGGCCUAUACAUUUGGGGCAGUCCGUCUUUACGCACUGCUGUGUGGCGCAUCGGCUGGUACAAGGUUUUAGAACAGUGCAAAAGAAGAAUUAAUGUUCACAACGGAGAAAAGAAGAUAUCAGAAAUGCCUUAAGUCCAGAGACAUGAAUCUAGCAUAUGUAAGAAAACUUAUGUUAAAUAUCUGCAUCUGCUUUCAGCCUCUAUCGGGCUCCUAUGUUUAGGUUCAGUCAUUUCAAUGUACAGUAGGCCUAAAUGUCCUUUUCUGAUUAUAUAUAUUCCACUUUUAAAUAACUUAGGUGUGUGCUCUGCUAACUAUUAAAAUGAAUUGUAAAUGUAAUUUUUUUUUAACUGUUUGUAUAAUUUUCAGAAAAAAAUCAGACAGCACUUAGAGUUUUUGCAUACGUGUGUGUGUGUGUGUGUGUGUGUGUGUGUGUGUGUGUGUGUUUGUGGAUCUACAUAUAUUUUCCACUUUUAACUCACUUAGGUGCUGUGCCUGCUAACUGUUAAAAUGUACUGUACAUGUAAAACUUUUUUUGAACCAUUUGUAUAAUUUGAUAGAAUAUAUUUUCUGCUGCAUAUAUUGCUGAAUAAACAACUUAAUCACCCUCCAUUAUUUUUACCUGAAUUGACCUAAUAAUGUAGCCAGCUUAAAGUAGUUAUAUUGAAUAUGUUUGUUUUCUACAUGGUGUUUUAUAUUUGUACUUUUUUAGAGUGUUUAUGUGGGAUUAUCACCAAAGAGUGGAUACGGUAUCAACGGUCACAAUCACAUUAUAACAAUUACAACAAUCACAUUAUAUCACAAAUUUAUUAAAAAAGCAAAACAUUUUACCAAAGCUGUUUGUGUAGCAAUUUCUUUUAUCAGCCACUUGGUGGUAAUGGGUUGCAAUGAAACUGCUAA